Molecule: long non-coding RNA, 1084 nt
Organism: Panicum virgatum (switchgrass)
Lineage: Eukaryota; Viridiplantae; Streptophyta; Magnoliopsida; Poales; Poaceae
Exons: 2
Source: RefSeq, a predicted model, not a curated record
ACGAAUUCGGUCCAAAGUUUAGGGAGGCGGAAAAUACUUUUUCCAUAUCGAAAACGUAAUUUAUGUUGCGGAAUGAACCAAAUUUCCGCGAAGCCCUUCGUCGGCCCGUAAAGCCCAGCCCAACAAGGUAACCACCUCUCUUGGAUUUCGGCCAUGGGAGAGCAGUUACCUGCAGUUGCAGUCGUCGGUCGUUCGUCACGGAGAAGACGGCAGACGGGGGUGGGGGUGUGCCUGCGUCUCAUUGUGUUCUCCGACUCCCUUGCGAAAACUGCGACGCCCUCGGUCGGAGAUGCCGGCACUCGCGAGUGCGGAUCCUCGGGCUGGGCAUGUGCGCGUGCGCGGACGUCAUCGUCGGCAACGAGCUGAGCCGCUGCGCGGCAUCUCUGGCGGCCAGAAGAAGUGCCUGCGCCUCGCCCCAGUAAUCCAUAUGUGCUAAUGAUGGGGUUAAAGGUCUCAAAAAAUUCGUCUCGCGGUUUCCAGGUGAGUUCUAAAAUUAGUUUUUUAAUUAGUGUCCGAAAAAUCUUCCCAACAUCUAGUCAAAUCUUAAAUGUGAUUCUUGAACCAAAAUUUUUCAUCAACUAAACACCCUUAUUUAUCAGAUGUCGAAGCAAGGGACAGCGAUAACGCAGAGUCGCAGAUACUCAGCAGAACCCGGGAGAAGACACGAGCACUGUCUGCAUCUUCUUGGAAGUGUAGGAAGCGCACUAUCAGCAGCCCGUCUAGCUCAGUCGGUAGAGCGCAAGGCUGUUAACCUUGUGGUCGUGGGUUUGAGCCCCACGGUGGGCGAUUUUUCUUUUGUUUUGUACUUUACAUUGUCCUUUCUAGAGGACUGUACAUUUUCUUUUGCAGAAGACACGAGCACUGUCUACAUGCUCUUGAAAGUACAUCAAGCAGUCGCUAUCAGCAGCCCGUCUAGCUCAGUCGGUAGAGCGCAAGGCUCUUAACCUUGUGGUCGUGGGUUCGAGCCCCACGGUGGGCGUUUUUCCUUUUGUUUUUUUGUACUUUCCAUUUUCCUUUUAGAGGACUGUCCAUUUUUCUUUUACAGAAGAAGAAAAGAGGAAUGACAGUAUCAACCCCAAAUGCC